AAAAAGGCAAACCCUGAAUUUCCGUGUCCAACUUUGAUUGUCCAUCUUAUAUGAAAUUUUUUUAUAAUUCGUAUUUUCAUUGUUGUUAGAUGAUAAAACAUGAUUAAUAUUUUAUACGUAACUUGUCUUUUUAAUUUUUUUCAUAAUUUUUUCAAAUAAGACGGACGGUGAAACGUUGGGCACGAAAACCAGGGUUUGUCUUUUU
Oryza nivara is the source of this 205-nucleotide non-coding RNA. Lineage: Eukaryota; Viridiplantae; Streptophyta; Magnoliopsida; Poales; Poaceae. The record is from Rfam.